This is a long non-coding RNA of Helianthus annuus (common sunflower), 2012 nucleotides long. RefSeq lists it as uncharacterized. NCBI's taxonomy places the organism in Eukaryota, Viridiplantae, Streptophyta, Magnoliopsida, Asterales, Asteraceae. The record is from RefSeq and is a predicted model, not a curated record. The transcript is spliced from 4 exons.
AACCUCUCAUCAUCAACCUACCAAACCCUACCAUCGGCAACUGCCGACCUCCACAUUCUGUGACAAUCCUCGCCAUCGCAGACCAAGAAGAGAAAUCGGAGACCAUUCGAUCCGUUAGUUCCAGACCAUACUCCGUUUUUUUAGUCAGAUUCGCUAUCAAGGAUGAGGUUUAUAAAGAUCCGUCAAGCAAAUCUCCAAUGGCGUCUUGUUGAAGGACACUCACAACAACAAGUAUCUCAUACGACAUGUUUUUGAGCUUCAGAAAGGUAAAACAGAUAAUUGGACCACAAGGGCGCGCUAAUAUUGAAUACUUGCCGUUCAGGUCCAUGUGCUCAUGGAGGCCUGGCAUCAGAUGACACGCCACAAGCAACAUUUUACACCACUCCCGCAGAUUUGUCUACACUUAUAUGCGGGGAUUCACGCUACCGUUGACGGUCAGAAUAUAACCAUCACACAUGUGAUGAUUAGCAACACAUAUGAAUUCGAUGACCUUGAUGCUGUUAAGUGGUAUUCUGAGAAAAGAGUUCGAAUUUGUAUGGAUAUGAUGGGCUAUAAUGUAGAGCCUCAUGAAUCGCCAUUUCAAUAAUCGUGAGUAUGAUUUCAUUUGUGGCUUACACGAUUUCAGUAACUGUGACUCGUAAGAAGCCGAAGCAGGAGCCGACUUCUAAUGGGCCGGAGUUGGAGCCGGCGCCGGAAAUGGUUAUACCAAUGAACGAUAAUGUGAUGAACUUGGAUCAGUCGGAAUUCUCAAGUUUCACAAGUGAUGAACUUGGAUGGAAAACUUGGAACUCUGAUAAUGUGAUUAUAUCUUUGACAGAUAUGAUUGUGGAAGACUUGGUUAAAGAAGACUUGGUUGAAGAAAACUUGGUUGAAGAAUACAUGGCAAAUCACUUUGGCAGCUUUUCAAUGAAGAUGAUUGUGGAAGACUUGGUUAAAGAAGACUUGGUGGUAAUGAAAGAUUGAUCAUGAAAAGGUAAUUUUUGUUUUUGAUGCAUUCAUGAAGAAGCAGUACCAAAAGAAGGUGUUUAACCCCUUGUGGAGAUAUAUUGCACAUGUAAUCUUACGAUGCAUGUCUUGUAGAAGAGACAACUUCGAAGAAUUAAACCAACGGUCGGCGUCAAUGAUGAUAGCGUUUGCAUACCAAUAGUAGUUUAGUUACUACAGCUACAUCUUCUAUGAACUGUGCAAUCAUAUUCAAUCAGAAUCAAAGUUUUUAUUGUUUCCACGAUUUCUGCAACACAUUUUCAAUCAGAAUUUUCCCAACUUGGUUCAUGAAGGAAGUUCUUUAGAUUUAUCUCAUUUGAUAGUAAAAUAUCAAGUUUUUAAUUUUUUAUAACGGUUUCCAUUUUUAGAAACUUUAUCGAUUUAUAAAGCAAAAAUGACAUAAAAAAGGAUCCAUUGAGAUAUGUUUUGAAAUCUAAGCAUUAGUAAUGACUUAUAAACAGGUUUGGACCAGAAAGUCAUUAAAUUAACAUUGAUUUUGGUCACACUUAGUAUUUGCAAAGCACUCAAGGAUCCCACAAAAGUUAUCGCAACCACACUUGAUACGUGCGAUAAGACAUGCAACAAGUAUAAGAGAGCGGCAGAUCAUAUCAAGAUGUUCGAAAAGUUAGAUGUAACAAUUUUGUUCGGAAUCAAUGCAACCAAAUUAUAUGGAUACGACGGGUUGAAGGAUAAGUCUUUUGACCGUAUCGUUUUCAAUGCCCCUCAUUGUGGGACUUUCGGAAAGAAAUUGGAUCUGAUUAAUAUCGAGUGUGCGAUUUGGGAUGGCAAUGGGUCGGGUUUGGGACGGGUUUAGGUAAUCCCAAACCCAAACCCGGUUAGAUAAGCUUGUCCCAAAACCCGUCGGGUUUCGGGUAAACCCGUUAAUUUAAAAAGAUUACUCGUUGGGUAUAUUCAUCUCAAAACCCAUUGAGUAUUUAUCGGCUAACUACUAACCAGUUACAUUUUGUAUUGUCAUUAUAAAAAUAUAUAUCAAAUAACUACAAUGUAUACGGAAUAGAAUACCUAUA